This 484-nucleotide ribosomal RNA is filed under the name uncultured bacterium. RNAcentral describes it as "partial 16S ribosomal RNA". It matches the Rfam family "Bacterial small subunit ribosomal RNA", at positions 30 to 507 of the family's 1533-position model. The record is from RNAcentral.
AUUGAACGCUGGCGGCAGGCCUAACACAUGCAAGUCGAGCGGAUGAAGGGAGCUUGCUCCUGGAUUCAGCGGCGGACGGGUGAGUAAUGCCUAGGAAUCUGCCUGGUAGUGGGGGAUAACGUCCGGAAACGGGCGCUAAUACCGCAUACGUCCUGAGGGAGAAAGUGGGGGAUCUUCGGACCUCACGCUAUCAGAUGAGCCUAGGUCGGAUUAGCUAGUCGGUGGGGUAAAGGCCUACCAAGGCGACGAUCCGUAACUGGUCUGAGAGGAUGAUCAGUCACACUGGAACUGAGACACGGUCCAGACUCCUACGGGAGGCAGCAGUGGAGAAUAUUGGACAAUGGGCGAAAGCCUGAUCCAGCCAUGCCGCGUGUGUGAAGAAGGUCUUCGGAUUGUAAAGCACUUUAAGUUGGGAGGAAGGGCAGUAAGUUAAUACCUUGCUGUUUUGACGUUACCAACAGAAUAAGCACCGGCUAACUUCGUG